GGGAUUAAUAAAUGGUUGCACAUCACAUGCAGUCGAGCGAGUCCCUUCGGAGGCUAACGGCGGACGGGUGAGUAACACGUAGGCAACCUGCCUCUCAGACUGGGAUAACAUAGGGAAACUUAUGCUAAUACCGGAUAGGUUUUUGGAUCGCAUGAUCUGAAAAGAAAAGAUGGCUUUUCGCUAUCACUGGGAGAUGGGCCUGCGGCGCAUUAGCUAGUUGGUGGGGUAACGGCCUACCAAGGCGACGAUGCGUAGCCGACCUGAGAGGGUGACCGGCCACACUGGGACUGAAACACGGCCCAAACUCCUACGGGAGGCAGCAGUAGGGAAUUUUCCACAAUGGACGAAAGUCUGAUGGAGCAACGCCGCGUGAACGAUGAAGGUCUUCGGAUUGUAAAGUUCUGUUGUCAGGGACGAACACGUACCGUUCGAACAGGGCGGUACCUUGACGGUACCUGACGAGAAAGCCACGGCUAACUACGUGCCAGCAGCCGCGGUAAUACGUAGGUGGCAAGCGUUGUCCGGAUUUAUUGGGCGUAAAGCGCGCGCAGGCGGCUAUGUAAGUCUGGUGUUAAAGCCCGGGGCUCAACCCCGGUUCGCAUCGGAAACUGUGUAGCUUGAGUGCAGAAGAGGAAAGCGGUAUUCCACGUGUAGCGGUGAAAUGCGUAGAGAUGUGGAGGAACACCAGUGGCGAAGGCGGCUUUCUGGUCUGUA
This 714-nucleotide ribosomal RNA is filed under the name Brevibacillus sp. 3Y41. RNAcentral describes it as "bacterial SSU rRNA". It matches the Rfam family "Bacterial small subunit ribosomal RNA", at positions 26 to 738 of the family's 1533-position model. Lineage: Bacteria; Bacillati; Bacillota; Bacilli; Caryophanales; Paenibacillaceae. The record is from RNAcentral.